RNAcentral lists this ribosomal RNA (405 nucleotides) under uncultured bacterium. Its description in RNAcentral is "bacterial SSU rRNA". It matches the Rfam family "Bacterial small subunit ribosomal RNA", at positions 355 to 776 of the family's 1533-position model. The record is from RNAcentral.
UGAGGAAUAUUGGGCAAUGGACGAAAGUCUGACCCAGCAACGCCGCGUGGAGGAAGAAUGCCUUCGGGUUGUAAACUCCUUUUUAGGGGGAAAAGGAAGGAUGGUACCCCUAGAAUAAGUCACGGCUAACUACGUGCCAGCAGCCGCGGUAAUACGUAGGUGACAAGCGUUAUCCGGAAUUACUGGGCGUAAAGCGCACGCAAGCGGUUUAUCAAGUUCGACGUGAAAUCUUCUGGCUUAACCAGGAGCGGUCGUUGAAAACUGAUAGGCUUGAGGCGAUGAGAGGGGUGCAGAAUUCCAGGUGUAGUGGUGGAAUGCGUAGAUAUCUGGAGGAAUACCAGUGGCGAAAGCGGCACCCUGGCAUCGAGCUGACGCUCAUGUGCGAAAGCGUGGGGAGCGAACGGG